ACGGGGGGAGCAAGCGUUGUUCGGAUUUACUGGGCGUAGAGGGCGCGUAGGCGGCCACCGCAAGUCAGUUGUGAAAUCUCCGAGCUUAACUCGGAAAGGUCAACUGAUACUGCGGGGCUAGAGUGCGGAAGGGGCAACUGGAAUUCUCGGUGUAGCGGUGAAAUGCGUAGAUAUCGAGAGGAACACCGGUGGCGAAGGCGGAUCUCUGGGCCUUGCCUGACGCUGAGGCGCGAAAGCUAGGGGAGCGAACAGGA
This 254-nucleotide ribosomal RNA is filed under the name uncultured prokaryote. RNAcentral's name for it is "partial 16S ribosomal RNA". It matches the Rfam family "Bacterial small subunit ribosomal RNA", at positions 525 to 777 of the family's 1533-position model. The record is from RNAcentral.